Molecule: long non-coding RNA, 1017 nt
Filed under: Capsicum annuum
Lineage: Eukaryota; Viridiplantae; Streptophyta; Magnoliopsida; Solanales; Solanaceae
Description: long non-coding RNA (CANN_LNC011904)
Source: RNAcentral
GAGCAUAUAUGUAUUUACAAAAACAAUUUUGUUAAAAAAGCAGGCUCGGAUAAAGUUUUAAAUAUUAUAAGAAUUUCGUCAUCGCCAAAAUUUAUUUAUUUUAUUACGUAUUUGUAUAUGUAAUAUAAAUUUUUUUUAUUUGCGAAAGACUCAAAAAUUGAUGAAAAAAUUCUUCAUCGGCCAAUACUAGUGUAGAAUCAUGUAUCUGUUGAAUUAAAUGUAAAGGACAAAUCGCCGAAUCAAUCCUGCAAAACUGUAGCAGCUCACCCAAGAAAAUUAUAAAACGGUACAAAAUCACUCCACAAGUAAAAUAAUAAGAAAAGAAACGCAACAUGAAUGUAGUAGCUAGCAUCCAACAACAAUAACAAAAUAGAAAAGCAAAAGGCAUCAAAAAUCUGCAUCUAAAUAUAGCAAAUUGUCUGGCAUCUAUGAAGUUUGCGGAUCAAAAUGAAGUUUUCAAUAGAUAGUGGACCAUUCUAUCCAGAUUGAAAAUGGCCAGAUUUGCAAAACCAUAGAAGCAACAGAUAAAAUUGAUGAAAACUCAGUUCAACAGAGUUAAAAGAUCGAAGUAGUGUGAUUAUUAGUGUUAAUUCAAUGACAUCGCUGGAGCAAUGCUUGAAUGACAUGAAUCCGACAAAAUCUAGCCUCCUUUUGGCAUGACAGUAAUAAUAUGAAAAGGGUAGAGCAACAUAACGAAAAGGGGGAGGGGGAAGCAUUAGCGGUGUUGGUGUUGUUUUGGUGGUUUUCCUGCGGGAAGCUCGCCAACAAUGGCUAUUGGUGGCGAAACAGGAAAGGGAUGGCAUGUGGAUGGAACUGGGUGGUGAUGCGGUUAGUGAGGGGGAGAAGAGGUGUCGGCUGGUUGUUGGCUGGAGGUGGUCCACCGGCGGUGGUUCGCCGGUGGUGAUGCAUCUGUUAUUAUGAGAUUGAGAGAGAGAAAAGAAAUAGGGGAGGAGACUAUUUCUUGGUUUUUUUGUUAUUGUGUGUGUGUGUUUUAAAGUGUUGAAGAAAAAAUAAACC